Molecule: long non-coding RNA, 3482 nt
Organism: Cavia porcellus (domestic guinea pig)
Lineage: Eukaryota; Metazoa; Chordata; Mammalia; Rodentia; Caviidae
Exons: 4
Source: RefSeq, a predicted model, not a curated record
UGAAGGAAGAAGUUUCUACACAGACAUGAUGGAGUGGUGAGAGCUCUGUGGCAGAAAGCCGCACAACGCAUUUACAGAUCUGAAAGAAGAUCAAAGUGCUUACAGCUGAAGGUAUACCCAGAAAUGAGAUGAAGUGGGGGCACAGAAGAUCAGCACUGGAGUGAACAUGAGAUCACUGAACCUUCUCUGCAUGGCUGGGAACCCAUCUUGUGAUGUGAAGAGGAGUCUCAUUAGCAGCAUCUGUCAGUAUUGUCUGCAGAAGUCAGUAACACUGGAUGAAUGUAUCCUGAGAAAUAUUUGAUGAAACUUUGCUGUAGAAGCAUUUGUGACAUGUCAACAAUUUCUAGAGAGCACGAGAGAGUCCACAGGGACAAGGAGAAAAGCAAGAUAAGAAAUAUUUUUGUCCUUUCCAAACAGGGCCCUGAUGACCAAGAACCAAGGGAAACCUUAUACCAGCUGUCAAUGAAGAUGGAAGGUUUCAGCCAAUGCUUGAGAAAAACUGAUCUCGCCAGCCACUAUGUGAGUAAUAGAGAAGCAGGUCUUUAGUAAAGCCUUUAGAAGACACUGCAGCACAGAUGCAGCUUUUAAGAGAAUCUUGUGAAAAACUUUUUGAAUCAGAGACAUCUAACUAAUCUAUUCCUUGAUAUGUGACAGAAAUCAAUAACAUGACAAGUUUUUGAAUCCCCUAAAAGUUUGGAGUUGCUAUGCUAUAUAUUAUGCAACUAAUACAGAUUCUGGUGCUACUAGUUAUUCUUGAAUUCCUCAAACAUGCCAUAUUUUUCUGUAGUUAGAAUUAAUAUCUCAUAUUAGUGGAGGCUAUUUAGUGCCAUAGUACGUGUGUACUGGUGUUCUGGUAUGUUUCAAGCUUUGCAUUUCCUUGUUUUCAUUUGUAGUUGGCAUUUCUUUACUCCUAUAAAAACUUCAAAGUUUCUUAAUAUGUUGUAUUAAUCUUUGAACCUUUUCUCCCAUAGACUAGUUGACAAUAGAUUUUAUGUAGUAAGUGUUCAAUAAAUAUUUAUUGAAUUAAAGUCAAUCAAUGUACUGAAUCAAACUUCAAUGGAACAAAGUUUGUAUAUGAGAACAAGUAGUUCAUGUUUAAGUUUUACAGCUCUUCAUUUUGAGUGUGAAUUCUGGUACAUACUUUAGAGUUAUGUUACCAAACGUAUCAUGGUGCAGUAUUUAAGAUGGUAUUUAAUAUUUUGUACUGAAACAAGAUUGUGAUAACUUUCUUAUAGAUUCAAAUAAUAUUUUCCCAGAUUGAAAUUACAAAAUCAUGGAUUUUUUGUACGUUAUCUUUUAUUAUUGGAAUAUUAGAAUUGUGAUGAUGUGCUAGACUUAAACAUGAUAGCUAUUUUGAUAAUGUCACAUUAUUUUCUGAUUAAAAGUUCUAUACUAUUUUCUAAAUGGUUCAUUGUAAGCGUUGGAUUGCUACUAUAUGUAGAGGCUAAGAAUUCAUCCCUACAGAAAUUUAGUACUAUUGUGCAGCAGAAAAGUGUUCAGACAGAUUUGGUCUGGAUUUUGGCUAAGUAAUUUACAUACUGUUUUAUAAUGAGCAAAUUAUGCAUUUCUCUGAAUAGUGCACAUAUCUAUGAUGGCACAAGAGAUUCUAGACUAUUGGUUUUGUGAUAUAUAUAUAUAUAUAUAUAUAUAUAUAUAUAUAUAUACCAGAUUAUCUGGUUAAUUAAAUGCCGCCAAUUUCUCCAUUUAUCUCAUGGAUUUCCUUUGCUUUUGUUUGAGAUAACCUACAGGUUGAGGCCAAUGUUUUUUGAUAUAACAUUGAUUUUACAGAGUUACCAUAGUCAUGAAUUCAUUUAAUCCCUUCCUUCACUAGGUCAUUAAUACAACAAAUAUUAUUGAGUCCUUUAGAAAAGUAAAGCAUUUAGUACUACUGUCUGUGAAUUCCUUAAAUAUGAAAUUUCUUGAAGAAAUAACUUGAAAUGUAUUAUUUACUAGACUUUUCAGUUAGCUACCACUUAAUUUGAAGAAAUAUUGGCUUUAAAUCUUCUAUCUUCGUAUUUAUGAGGUGUAGUCAACAAAUAUGGUUAAUGCUUAAAUUAAAAAAAAUUAUAAUAAAAGACACAUUGUUAUUACUCCCUAUCAAAAUAUUCCCUCCACUUUAGAGCACAGUUAGAACAUAUUUUUAGCACUUUCUGACAUAGUUCUGGGAGUCUUCUUUUGCAAUGUAUUUGCAAGACUACCUCCAUAUCCUUAAUUAAAAAUGCCGGAGUGGUGGCAAACCUAUGGCAUGUGUGUUAUUUGUUUUUCUUUUAAGACAAAAGAUGUUAAUUAUGAGUUGUCUUUUCUAAACUCAACCCUCAAUAUUUAGGUUUAAUUGCAGUCAUUUACUUGGCCAUUUGUGAUAAGUAAAUGGGUUUUGGGCUACAGUUUAGAUAUUUGUCUCUAAAUGGUUUGUCAUCACUGUUUUAGGGCAAUUUCUGUCAAAUAGAAACAUUACAGUGUGUCCUCAUCCACCUUAUUUAAGGAAUGUGGCAUCACAUUGAGACCUUUGGUUCUUUUCUAAGGUCUAAAUGAUCAUGAGAAUUAAACUCUUGAACUGAUUUAGAAUGCUGAGGCAGCCAUAACAUCACAAAUAAAGACAUGAAAAAAAAAAAAGAUUUCCAGAACUUCUUACGAAAGUGGGAAGAAGAACUGGAUAAGUGUGUUUGGUGAGGAAAAGGGCUUGAGGGGGAUUCACAGCAAUGUGUAUUUUACUGUAGGAAGGUUUUGUUGUUGUUUUUUAACCUAAACAUUCACUGUAUGUUUUCAUCAUCCCUCAUAUUCAACCUUGAUACAUUUCUAAUUUCCUUCUUUGGUAGUCAUGUAACCUUAUUUGCUUCAUUUAAUUUGAUUAUCAGUUUCCUCAAUUGUGAAAUUGGAAGAAUAAUGGUAUUUCACGAAACUGCUCUACUGGUUAUAUAUGACAUUCACUGUAAAAUUUCGGGUGUAUUAUCAGACAUAGAGUGUUUAAUAAAAUUUUUCAUACAAGCAUAAUAUGAAUAAAUCUUAAUUGACUAAUUCAUAUAUUGAAAAUGAUGUACUAGAAUAUAUAGGUUAAACUGAAAAGUUCUGCAAAUGUAGAUGGUUAUUUUUAUUAGUAUCGAGAAUGAAAAAUCAUCUUAUAAUUUAUUGAAUUCAGAGAUCUAUGUAAAAAUACUCUGUAACCAAUAGGCAAUCAAUGAAGCUUUGCUAUUUCAUAUAAGAAUCUGUAAUAAGAUAUCAGACAGACCUAGUUUAGGGCUGAACAACGUAAUUCCUUAAGAUAUGCAUCAGUUAAUAAAAUACUACUAUGUAGCUCCUUGAUCAGUGAGUAUUAGCUCACUAUGGCAUUUAUUUUCUUUUGUUUAUUCUUUUAUAAUCUUUCUUUAUGCUGAUAAUAUUCAAUUUUGCCAUCAAGGAAGCUUUGGUUUCCAUUAAAUAGUUGCACUGUUUCAAAAGGACAAAUUUGGUAUUCUUUUCAUAGCUAAAAUAUGCUAUGGGUAUAA